AGGGAGCUUGCUCCCGGAUGUUAGCGGCGGACGGGUGAGUAACACGUGGGUAACCUGCCUGUAAGACUGGGAUAACUCCGGGAAACCGGAGCUAAUACCGGAUAGUUCCUUGAACCGCAUGGUUCAAGGAUGAAAGACGGUUUCGGCUGUCACUUACAGAUGGACCCGCGGCGCAUUAGCUAGUUGGUGAGGUAACGGCUCACCAAGGCGACGAUGCGUAGCCGACCUGAGAGGGUGAUCGGCCACACUGGGACUGAGACACGGCCCAGACUCCUACGGGAGGCAGCAGUAGGGAAUCUUCCGCAAUGGACGAAAGUCUGACGGAGCAACGCCGCGUGAGUGAUGAAGGUUUUCGGAUCGUAAAGCUCUGUUGUUAGGGAAGAACAAGUGCAAGAGUAACUGCUUGCACCUUGACGGUACCUAACCAGAAAGCCACGGCUAACUGCGUGCCAGCACCCCCCCUAAUACGUAGGUGGCAAGCGUUGUCCGGAAUUAUUGGGCGUAAAGGGCUCGCAGGCGGUUUCUUAAGUCUGAUGUGAAAGCCCCCGGCUCAACCGGGGAGGGUCAUUGGAAACUGGGAAACUUGAGUGCAGAAGAGGAGAGUGGAAUUCCACGUGUAGCGGUGAAAUGCGUAGAGAUGUGGAGGAACACCAGUGGGCGAAGGCGACUCUCUGGUCUGUAACUGACGCUGAGGAGCGAAAGCGUGGGGAGCGAACAGGAUUAGAUACCCUGGUAGUCCACGCCGUAAACGAUGGAGUGCUAGGUGUUAGGGGGUUUCCGCCCCUUAUGUGCUGCGGCUGACCGCAUUAAGCACUCCGCCUGGGGAGUACGGUCGCAAGACUGAAACUCAAAGG
This 854-nucleotide ribosomal RNA is filed under the name Bacillus sp. (in: firmicutes). Its description in RNAcentral is "bacterial SSU rRNA". It matches the Rfam family "Bacterial small subunit ribosomal RNA", at positions 73 to 907 of the family's 1533-position model. The record is from RNAcentral. Lineage: Bacteria; Bacillati; Bacillota; Bacilli; Caryophanales; Bacillaceae.